CUGUCUGACAUGGCGUACAGCUUGCCUACAGGGAGCUGUGCUCCAGGGAGUAAGUUGAUUUGACAGUCAAAGGGUCUAUGCGGGGGUAGUUGGUCAGCUUCCCUUUCGCUGAAGACGUCACGGAGAUCUGCAUAUUGUCGUGGUACCUUCACGUUCUCUGUUACUUCAGUCCCUGCUAGGGUGGCUUGGACCCCUGCCAAACCCUUCCCUCUUUGCAGUGUUCUAAGCAAUGUGCUGAACCAAAAGAAACCACUCUCUGAUGCCAGCCCACCAGCGGAUCAUGUAACGCUAGCCAGCUCAUCCCCAAUAUAAUGGGAGCUCCUCCCAAGGUGGCCACAUUAAAAGCUAUCAGUUCGGUGUGCCUUGCUACCUUCAUUAUCAUUGGGACGGUCUGCAAGCUGACUUCUCCACCCAACAGCUCCCUGCCAUCGAUCGUGGUCACCUGCAGGGGGCUGCUUAAAGGGAUUGUCUGUAUCUGGUGUUCAGCUGCAAACUCUUUGCUCAUGAAAUUGCAGGAGCUGCCUGAGUCCAACAGCGCCUUUAUCUUUAGAGGGUGUCCGUUUGGCAGCUCUAGCGUCACUUCUAUCACUGGGCGGGUUUAGGAGGUUCUGGCGUGGGCACUCUCACUGCUCUUUGGCCUGGCUGCUGUGCCCUGACAGUGGCAGCCAGGCGUUGGCUUUACUUGCUCCGGUAUAUUUUCCUCUCUUCCAUCCACAGCCCCUACCAUCCCUUGCCAUUCUUUCCUCUGGGGCAGACUCUGGCAAAGUGACCUGGCUGUUGGCAGAGAUAGCAUUUCCGGGCGCCUUUUCCCUCCUUCUUUGCCCCCUCACUGGGCUUUGAAACUACGCGCGCGCGCGCUGUUCCGAUUUCCAUCGGCUCUGCCGGUGGGAAAGUUGGCUCUGGAAUGUCUGGAAUGCGGAACUCCUUCCAACGUUCCCCUUUCCCUUCCCGCCUCUCCAAUGCUCUCGCCUCCUGGCGCGCUCCUAUGGCCAGCGCUGAUUUGGUCAGCUGGUCCAUAGACUCCGCCCUGGGCGCCCGGGAAAGUUCGUCUUUCACAGCCGAAGAAAGCCCUUCUUCAAAGAGCAUUUGAAUGGGUUCCGCCGAUAAGUCCCACCCCAAUCUGUGAACAAGCAUGGUGAACUCAGUCCAGUACUCACGGACAGAUCGGCUCCCCUGUUUGCAACCCAUUAACUGUCUGCGCACCACUCCCUUUUCAAUAUCGCUGGAAAACAUCAGAUCCAUGGCGCGAAAGAACUUCAUCGUGUCCUUUAAGACGUCACUAUUCGCUGCCAUCAGGGGUCUAACCCAGUCUCUCGCCCCUUUUCAAGAUGCUCAAUCACGAAAGCCACUCGUGAUUCCUCGUCAGGGAAUUCAUCAAACUGCAGAUUGAGGGCAUAUUGCAUUUCUGUCCGAAAACCAUGAUAGUUUUUGGGCUCCCCCCCCAAACUUCUGCACCAAUCCUGGUACCUUUCUGGCGAACUGGGUGGCUUUCCCCCUUUUGUCUGCAUCCUGAGCCCUCCUCUCCUCAAGCCUCGCCGUUUGCAUCGCUAGCUGGACCUCCAACAUCUGGUACCUUUCUUCCAGGCUUGGACCCGCUCCAGCUCCUGCUUCUCCGGUUCCGGCUGGGUUGCUCAUGAUGCCUUCUCCUGCACAAGCUGCUUUCAAAGACUGUCGGAAUGCUGUGAUGGGAUGAUGAGCUGCUUGUGCGUAAAAUCGUAUCCCCUCAGAGUUUGUUCAAGUCCACAAACCUCUGUCUGUGACGGAGCCCUCAGACAUGGCUACUCUAGUCACUAGCAGAUUCCGACAGUGGCUGCUUUCGUAAUCGCUUCCAACAUAAAAGCUCCUUAACGGAAACACGUCUUCUGGAAUCUCUGCGUGACAGUUUCCGGCGAGGAGUGGGUGUUCUUACAGGAGGUGCUGAAACCUCCCCACUGUUUUCACUGGAAGUGUCUCUGAGCCAUCCCUCCAGCUCAGCUCCUCUCCCCCUGCUGGUUCCCUCUUCAGCUGCUGCGUCUCUCCCAACCUGUGUGAGCCCUUUCACCUCCCUGUUGGUUCCCUCUUCAGCUGCUGCGUCUCUCCCAACCUGUGUGAGCCCUUUCACCUCCCUGUUGGUUCCCUCUUCAGCUGCUGCGUCUCUCCCAACCUGUGUGAGCCCUUUCACCUCCCUUCCGUCCGAUGGCAGUUCCCUGACAUCACCAACUCAAUCUAUGGAUGAAGUGAGGUCCUGUCAAGUCUUGCAAACGAACCAGAUAAUGCUUGAGAUUCACCGAUACACUCAUAGGUGGAUGAACCGCAGACAAAUUACUAUGUCCUUGUCUCAGCUCCUGAAUUACCAUUACCAAAAUGUAGAUCUAGAAAAUUUCCACUUCCUGCCUACCGUGAGAAACACCAUGCGCCUAUUUAUGACCUUUAGGUCAUCAGCCCUCCCAUCUCGACUCAUGGAGAUAAAGGAUACUCUAUGGUGGUUCCAUUCUCUCCGCCCAGUGAGGUUAUUUAAGGACGAAACAAGGAGGCAAUUGGUCCCUUGCAUAGAGUCAAAGCUAAUGCGGAUAAGGGAAACCAAGCUCAACACUAGAAACACUAAUUGCCCGAAGGAAAAAAAGAACUCUGUAAGCCUAGAAUUACAAGACCUGAAGAAGAGGCUAAUGAAUAUAAAGACUGAGAUUUCUACCCAAAAUAUAAGGACAGUAGAGCCUAGAGCACAAUAUUUAAAGACGUCCAACAGCUCUUUAUCCCAUAGAAAGACAUCAGUGCAACUCCCUGUUCCCUUUUCAAACGACACCGAAUUAGAUGAGGUAUUUGGCGCCUCCGACAUUUCUAUGGGAACAACACCUAAAGAACUCCAUGCUGCUGACAAUCUGGAGAUAUCCAGCACCAAAUCUACAUCUGGACCUUUGCCUAAUGUUCCAAAAACUUAUCAGAAUGAUCAACCUUCUCUACUGUACUCCUGGCGAGACAGGAUGAACAGAUCUUCUGAAUUUGAAGCUGGCUCUUUGUUGACCAGUGAUCCACAUUUUAUAGCACAUACCUCAUUAAUACUCCCACAGCCACAGAUAGAACCAACAAUCCUCCAAUCAACCCAGGAUGGAGAGGGGGAUUGACAGUUAACGAAACACCAUGGGACUGUCCUCCCCACUUGGGGUGCGGUUGGUUGGGUUUUAUCUUCUAGGGAUACUUACCCUAUCAAACCUCCACCUCUUCCCCAUACCAUUUUGACCCAGGAGUCCUCGCCCAAGGAUGACUUGUUAUUGAGGGGAUGUUACCCCUCUAUUGGGGAGACUAGUAUGGGGUCUGGGAUUUCCACUAUUGAAGGGCUAGGGAGGAAUGGCGGUGGGGCUAGAUAUCUCUAUCGGCGAAGUGAUCCUCGAACCCCUUCCAUUCUACGCCCCAUCCCAAGGGAUGAGGGUAGGGAGAGCAAGGAUUACCCACCUCUGUCAUUGGUGCUGUGCAAUGCCAGGUCCAUAGGCAACAAAACCGCCACCAUGCGUGACUUUUUUGUCUCGCAGGGGAUUGACCUGGCUUGCGUGACGGAGACCUCCUUUCCAUGGAGGCGCAAGUUACAGCAACACCCAAGGCGACAUUUUUCCACCUUCGCCGCAUCAAGCAGUUGGUCCCUUACCUCUCCCGCCCCAACCUGGCCACAGUGAUCCAUGCGAUGGUCAUCUCCAGGCUUGACUACUGUAAUUCGCUCUAUGCGGGGCUGCCCUUGAAGCUGUCCCAGAAACUCCAGCGGGUGCAGAAUGCUGCAGCGAGGCUCCUCACGGGGUCUCUGCCAUGGGAGCAUAUUCACCCAGUGCUUUUCAAGCUGCACUGGCUCCCGGUGGAGUACAGGGUCAGAUUUAAGGUGUUGCUUUUGACCUUUAAAGCCCUUCAAGGCCUAGGACCCUCAUACCUACGGGACCGCCUCUCCCGGUAUGCCCCACGGAGAGCCUCAAGGUCCAUAACUAGCAACACCCUAGUGGUCCCAGGCCCUAAGGAAGUUAGAUUGGCUUCAACCAGAGCCAGGGCCUUUUCAACUCUGGCUCCCGCCUGGUGGAACGCUCUGCCUCAUGAGACCAGGGCCCUGCAGGAUCUGAUUUCUUUCCGCAGGGCCUGUAAGACAGAGUUGUUCCGCCUGGCCUUUGGCUUGGAGCCAAUUUGAUUCCCUCCCUCUUUUUAUUUUUUCUUUUCCUUCUCCUCCUGCGAUGAGGCUACAUUUUAAUAUUUUAAUGUUUCAAUAUUUUAAUGUUGUAUUUUAAUGUUGUUUUUAAGUUGUAAUAAUUCAACUUGUUUUUAUUAUUGCUUGUAAGCCGCUCUGAGCCCGGCCUUGGCUGGGGAGGGCGGGGUAUAAAUAAAAAUUAUUAUUACUAUUAUUAUUACUAAUGAGGUAGGGUGGAGAAAGAAAUAAUGGAAAUGAGAUGCAGAUAAAAUCUAUCCAGCUUAGACUCACUUUUUCCUCUAAAUUUGUUUUGUAAUUAUCUUUGCGUUUCUGUGCUUUUGAUCCUUAAGGUGCAGGUUUUUAUGGUUUGCUGAGGAAAGGGGUAUACCCUCCAUAAAACAAAUAAAAUUCUCUUGCAU
This is a non-coding RNA of Podarcis lilfordi (Lilford's wall lizard), 4557 nucleotides long. NCBI's taxonomy places the organism in Eukaryota, Metazoa, Chordata, Lepidosauria, Squamata, Lacertidae. The record is from the annotation of a GenBank genome assembly.